GCCUCACCAACGCCAGGAUCUCCGCCGCAGCCGCCCGCCUCACGGAGCUCACCCUGUCAGAAACAAGUCUUUCCGAGGCCGCCCUUCAGAGCGCGCUCUCCAGCUGCCCCGCGAUCCGUACCCUCAUUCUCAAGUACGUCCACGGCCUCCAACGCAUCCGCGUCUGUUCUUGCGGCAGCCUGGUGUUCCUCGGCGUGUGGGAUGAUCACCCUGGAGGACGCCCCUUGUUGGUCAGCAUCCCAAAUGCUGUUCCACGGAGAGGCUGCUCCACCGCGGGUUAACUAGUGUCUCCGUGCUCCAAUCCUAAGAGUAAAAAUUUGGGCAGGUCUGCGGAAAAAAGAGAAAGUGAUGCAACCUUGUGUUCUUGACUUCCUGCAUGGUCAAUGUGUCUCUCAAAUAAGCACUGGACUAUACCACACCGUUGCAGUGACAAAUAAAGGAAGAAGAUCAGAUUCCUGGUACGCCCAGAAUUCUUUAGAUUCAUGUCGAACACAUCUCCAUAGUGACCAAUAAACCAACAAAACUGCAGUAGAUUCAUCAUACCAACUGUGUGGUUUCAGAUGCAGAUGCAGUAGAUUCAUCACAGCAACUUUGGGAUGGUUCCUUCCUCUUCAGGUGGAUAUAAGUCGAAGUGUGGAAGAACCAUGGUGAUCUGCUGUGCUGCCGAGCGAGGAAGAAGGUGAUGUGCUCGGAGCGAUGGACCUGGAGGUGUGCUCUGUUGGGUGGGUGCUGGGCGCCUGUGGACCUGGAGGUGCGUCCGGUUUCCGGGAAGUGCAGCUGGACGAUCUGGAGCUGCCGGCAUGCCGGGCGACGCAAUCAGAUCAUCGGUGGAGGAGGAGGUUCAUGAGGAGGCAGUGCGCCCUCUGAUCUCUGGUGACCUCAUGGCCCUGGCGCCUCGUGGCGAAGCUCUGGACGAGGGGCGAUGAGCUUCUGGCUAAGGGGACGGCAGCCAGCUUCCGGGAUCGAUUGGACCUGGGACUCGUGGGCGGAGGAGAAACUGGAGGCCAGAGGCGGAGUCGCUGGGUGGAGGAGAAGCAACGGAGGCCGGAGAUGCAGUCGCUUGCCGGAGGUGAGCACCUGAUGGUCGUUGGCCGGAGUACAAGCAGGGCGAGGGAUCGUGGUCCUGGUCGAGAUGCGAGUGGAGGAGGAGGAUGCGCGAGGACGGAUCGUGAUCUGAUCCUAAUUUCGGAGGGGUAGGGCUGUCAUUUUACCAGUUUUUCACCUUGUCGGAAAUUUCCCCCAACGUCUUACAUUUCUGCACGGAGGGAGUAGUUGAGAACUAACUUCGUGAUCAGUCAAUGCCUACGCCAUUUGAUUU
This is a long non-coding RNA of Lolium rigidum, 1318 nucleotides long. RefSeq lists it as uncharacterized. The record is from RefSeq and is a predicted model, not a curated record. NCBI's taxonomy places the organism in Eukaryota, Viridiplantae, Streptophyta, Magnoliopsida, Poales, Poaceae. The transcript has 4 exons.